GGCUUAGAGUUUGAUCAUGGCUCAGGAUGGACGCUGGCGGCGUGCUUAACACAUGCAAGUCGAGCGAAGCACUUGGGAUUGAUUUCUUCGGAAUGAAAUCUCAUUUGACUGAGCGGCGGACGGGUGAGUAACGCGUGGGUGACCUGCCCCAUACCGGGGGAUAACAGCUGGAAACGGCUGCUAAUACCGCAUAAGCGCACGGAGCUGCAUGGCUCAGUGUGAAAAACUCCGGUGGUAUGGGAUGGGCCCGCGUCUGAUUAGGCAGUUGGCGGGGUAACGGCCCACCAAACCGACGAUCAGUAGCCGACCUGAGAGGGCGACCGGCCACAUUGGGACUGAGACACGGCCCAAACUCCUACGGGAGGCAGCAGUGGGGAAUAUUGCACAAUGGGGGAAACCCUGAUGCAGCGACGCCGCGUGAGCGAAGAAGUAUUUCGGUAUGUAAAGCUCUAUCAGCAGGGAAGAUGAUGACGGUACCUGACUAAGAAGCCCCGGCUAACUACGUGCCAGCAGCCGCGGUAAUACGUAGGGGGCAAGCGUUAUCCGGAUUUACUGGGUGUAAAGGGAGCGUAGACGGCGAAGCAAGUCUGGUGUGAAAACCCGGGGCUCAACCCCGGGCCUGCAUUGGAAACUGUUUUGCUUGAGUGCCGGAGAGGUAAGCGGAAUUCCUAGUGUAGCGGUGAAAUGCGUAGAUAUUAGGAGGAACACCAGUGGCGAAGGCGGCUUACUGGACGGUAACUGACGUUGAGGCUCGAAAGCGUGGGGAGCAAACAGGAUUAGAUACCCUGGUAGUCCACGCCGUANACGAUGAAUGCUAGGUGUUGGGGAGCAAAGCUCUUCNGUGCCGCCGCAAACGCAUUAGGCAUUCCACCUGGGGA
This 878-nucleotide ribosomal RNA is filed under the name uncultured bacterium. RNAcentral's name for it is "bacterial SSU rRNA". It matches the Rfam family "Bacterial small subunit ribosomal RNA", at positions 1 to 879 of the family's 1533-position model. The record is from RNAcentral.